GUCCACGCGGUAAACGAUGGAUGCUCGCUGUUUGCGUUUUACGUAAGCGGCCAAGCGAAAGCGUUAAGCAUCCCACCUGGGGAGUACGCCGGCAACGGUGAAACUCAAAGGAAUUGACGGGGGCCCGCACAAGCGGAGGAACAUGUGGUUUAAUUCGAUGAUACGCGAGGAACCUUACCCGGGCUUGAAUUGCAGAUGAAUGAUUCAGAGAUGAUGAAGUCCUUCGGGACAUCUGUGAAGGUGCUGCAUGGUUGUCGU
Molecule: ribosomal RNA, 258 nt
Filed under: uncultured bacterium
Lineage: Bacteria
Description: partial 16S ribosomal RNA
Rfam family: Bacterial small subunit ribosomal RNA
Source: RNAcentral